UACUUUCUAUACAAUAGUAAUUUGCUUUCCAAAAACUUUGAAAUUACUUUAACUUGGUCGUCAAGUCAAGCGAUAGGUUACAAAGUCCUACACCACAAACCCUCUACUAUAUAUAUCUGUGUCAUGUACUACAAAAUUUGGUCGUCAAGUCAAGCAAUAGGUUAUAUUUCCAUUCACCACUUCCUCAAUUAUCCGCAAAACCACAAUUCAAAGCAAACUAUAACAGAAGAAAUCAGUCACCUAUUUUUAUCAAUGAUGGUAGCAUACCUAAGAGACGUACGUCCCUACAAAACAGUUUGGAGGGUCUAAGUCAAAGUUUGGAGACUCUUGAAUGUAUUUUCGCUGAUGAUAAAGUUAAUAUCACCUACUUCCUAUUUUGUUUAUCGCUAAUAUUUGUUGUCUCUUAUGUUUCAAGGUGUUAAAAUGGAACAGUGGUUACAAGCACUCACCCUGUCUCAGACUCAAACUACUUAACCUUGGGUAAGUUUCAAAACAUUCAGUGUGGUGAUCUAAAUAAAGAAAAAUGAUAUGCAAGACUUCAAGUAAAUACCUCUUAUGAGAUACUCAAGAGGAGUGAAUGCCAGAUUGAUACUGUAAUUCAUUUGUCUCUACUAUUUUUCAUCAGACCAAAGCACGAAAGUCUUGGAUUUGAGUCCUACAAAAAAAAACAUAUGGUACUUCAUGCACGUCCUUUACCACUACAUUAUUAUAAUUUCUAAAGCUUGAGCAAUAUGUAAAGCUACUAUUUGUUGCAUCGCCCACUUCAUCGGUUGUGACUCCCCUAAAGAAAUCAAAACAAUAGUAACUACAGAAUCAUAACCAAAGAGACGAGUGAAAUUUAUGAAGGCACCAUACAAUAAGUUCAAGAACUGGCCAAAGUCUGAUUAGGCAUAAACUCAACAACAAGAAGUCUCUCUUUGCCUUAAAAACAUAAGGUUUGCCAUUCCAUAGUUUCUUAAUUGACCCACAACUUUAGCAUCCUCUUACAAAUACAAAUUCAGACAUUCAAACCCCAUACUGAGAUACAAAGGAUAAAGGAUUAUAUUAAGCAAAAUUCAAGAAGAAGACUAUUACCAGAAAGUCAGAAACUGACGAGAAUCGAGCGAAGCUUUCCUUACCGUCUCAAUUGAGAAUUCACGAAAUUGAGGCAAAUCAUAAUGAUUUGAAAGUUGGCCGCGUGAUGAAGUGUUGUUAUUUACAGAAGAAAAAGGGUGAAUUCCCUCAAUCAAAAUUAAAUCUAAGGAAAAAAAAAUAAGGUUGUAAAAUUUCCACGAUUCGACUUAGAUCUGUUUUCUGAAAUCGGAAACAUUUAUAAUUAAAAUAUUUGAUAUAAAAUAGUGAAUUAUUAUAUUUCUGUAUAAAAUAGAGGAGAUUUUGUUUUGUGACAACAAUCCAUUCAGAUUUGGUGGCGGAGGAAACGAUAGAGCCAUAGAGGCGGAAAGGGAUGGAACUACGACAACGGUGGUGGUGG
This 1471-nucleotide long non-coding RNA is filed under the name Capsella grandiflora. RNAcentral describes it as "long non-coding RNA (CGRA_LNC001586)". Lineage: Eukaryota; Viridiplantae; Streptophyta; Magnoliopsida; Brassicales; Brassicaceae. The record is from RNAcentral.